Glossina morsitans morsitans is the source of this 122-nucleotide non-coding RNA. The record is from Rfam. Lineage: Eukaryota; Metazoa; Arthropoda; Insecta; Diptera; Glossinidae.
UCCUUCCUUGUCAUGGGGAGCAUGAUACUCUAUGAACGUUUAGUGAGAGUAUUUAUGCUGACACCAUUUAUUUAAAUAACCCCCCGUACGCUUUGUCUAAAGUGUAUGGAAUUUUUGGAAAA